RNAcentral lists this ribosomal RNA (254 nucleotides) under uncultured bacterium. Its description in RNAcentral is "partial 16S ribosomal RNA". It matches the Rfam family "Bacterial small subunit ribosomal RNA", at positions 524 to 776 of the family's 1533-position model. The record is from RNAcentral.
UACAGAGGUGGCAAGCGUUGUUCGGAAUUACUGGGCGUAAAGGGCGCGUAGGCGGUCAGCACAAGUCAGUUGUGAAAUCUCCGGGCUUAACUCGGAAAGGUCAACUGAUACUGUGCGACUAGAGUGCAGAAGGGGCAACUGGAAUUCUCGGUGUAGCGGUGAAAUGCGUAGAUAUCGGGAGGAACACCUGUGGCGAAGGCGGCCCCCUGGUUGGAUACUGACGCUGAGACGCGAAAGCGUGGGGAGCAAACAGG